RNAcentral lists this ribosomal RNA (236 nucleotides) under uncultured prokaryote. Its description in RNAcentral is "partial 16S ribosomal RNA". It matches the Rfam family "Bacterial small subunit ribosomal RNA", at positions 524 to 758 of the family's 1533-position model. The record is from RNAcentral.
UACAGAGGGUGCAAGCGUUAAUCGGAAUUACUGGGCGUAAAGCGUGCGCAGGCGGUCUGUUAAGACCGAUGUGAAAUCCCCGGGCUUAACCUGGGAACUGCAUUGGUGACUGGCAGGCUUUGAGUGUGGCAGAGGGAGGUAGAAUUCCACGUGUAGCAGUGAAAUGCGUAGAGAUGUGGAGGAAUACCGAUGGCGAAGGCAGCCUCCUGGACCGGCAUUGACGCUGAGGAGCGAAA